RNAcentral lists this unclassified non-coding RNA (240 nucleotides) under soil metagenome. RNAcentral describes it as "partial contains 5.8S ribosomal RNA, internal transcribed spacer 2, and large subunit ribosomal RNA". The record is from RNAcentral.
AACAUCGCGCACCUGCGGGAACCUGCGUAGGGAUCAUUACAGAGUUGCAAAACUCCCUAAACCAUUGUGAACGUUACCUAAACCGUUGCUUCGGCGGGCGGCCCGGGUCCUUCCCGGCGCCCCUCGGCCCUCGCGGGCGCCCGCCGGAGGUAAACCAAACUAUUGCAUUGUAUGGCCUCUCUGAGUCUUCUGUACUGAAUAAGUCAAAACUUUCAACAAUGGAUCUCAGAUCGGAAGAGC